This 477-nucleotide ribosomal RNA is filed under the name uncultured bacterium. RNAcentral describes it as "partial 16S ribosomal RNA". It matches the Rfam family "Bacterial small subunit ribosomal RNA", at positions 28 to 507 of the family's 1533-position model. The record is from RNAcentral.
GAUUAACGCUGGCGGCGUGCAUAACACAUGCAAGUCGAACGAUGAAACUUUAAUGAACCCUUCGGGGAGAAUUAAAGCGGAUUAGUGGCGAACGGGUGAGUAACGCGUGAGUAACCUGCCUUACACAAGGGGAUAGCCUUUGGAAACGAAGAAUAAUACCCUAUAAAACCAUAAAAGUACAUGCAAUUAUGGUCAAAGUGAUAGCGGUGUAAGAUGGACUUGCGUCUGAUUAGCUAGUUGGUGAGAUAAAAGCCCACCAAGGCAACGAUCAGUAGCCGGCGUGAGAGAGUGUACGGCCACAUUGGGACUGAGACACGGCCCAGACUCCUACGGGAGGCAGCAGUGGGGAAUUUUGCACAAUGGGGGAAACCCUGAUGCAGCGACGCCGCGUGAUUUAGAAGGCCUUCGGGUUGUAAAAAUCUUUUGUAUAGGAAGAAAAUGACAGUACUAUACGAAUAAGGGCCGGCUAAUUACGUG